UACGGGGGGGGCAAGCGUUGUUCGGAAUUACUGGGCGUAAAGGGUGCGUAGGCGGCUUUCUAAGUCGGAUGUGAAAACUCUGGGCUCAACCCAGAGCCUGCAUCCGAAACUGGAGAGCUAGGAUUCUGGAGGGGAAAGCGGAAUUCCUGGUGUAGCGGUGAAAUGCGCAGAUAUCGGGAAGAACACCCGUGGCGAAGGCGGUUCUCUGGGACGGUACUGACGCUGAGACGCGAAAGCGUGGGGAGCGAACAGG
This 253-nucleotide ribosomal RNA is filed under the name uncultured bacterium. RNAcentral describes it as "partial 16S ribosomal RNA". It matches the Rfam family "Bacterial small subunit ribosomal RNA", at positions 524 to 776 of the family's 1533-position model. The record is from RNAcentral.